GUUGUGGCUCAGUGGUAGAGUGCUUGUCUAGCACAUGGGGUACUGGGUUCAAUCCUCAGCAUCACA
This 66-nucleotide transfer RNA is filed under the name Marmota monax (woodchuck). Its description in RNAcentral is "tRNA.Leu". Lineage: Eukaryota; Metazoa; Chordata; Mammalia; Rodentia; Sciuridae. The record is from RNAcentral.